RNAcentral lists this ribosomal RNA (77 nucleotides) under Leptospira ilyithenensis. RNAcentral's name for it is "partial 23S ribosomal RNA". It matches the Rfam family "Bacterial large subunit ribosomal RNA", at positions 2707 to 2784 of the family's 2925-position model. Lineage: Bacteria; Pseudomonadati; Spirochaetota; Leptospiria; Leptospirales; Leptospiraceae. The record is from RNAcentral.
CACUGUGUAUCUGUUGUUCCACCAGGAGCAUCGCAGAGUAGCUACGUUCGGACGGGAUAACCGCUGAAAGCAUAUAA